Long non-coding RNA from Aplysia californica (California sea hare), 783 nucleotides. RefSeq lists it as uncharacterized. NCBI's taxonomy places the organism in Eukaryota, Metazoa, Mollusca, Gastropoda, Aplysiida, Aplysiidae. The record is from RefSeq and is a predicted model, not a curated record. The transcript is spliced from 4 exons.
UCGAGUCAAGGACACACGCUUCGGUUUAUUCAUAGCUCCAACGUUUUUCCCCCAUUAGCCUAGCCCAGAACGCUUUCAAUCCCAGGAUGCAACAUCUCCGCGUGUUUUGUCACCAGCGCACAACACAUCUCCGAAUCUCCGGGUUUUCGUAAGAUUACCGUAAGCUUCUGUCAUUUGAAAAAGGGGAAGAACAACUGAAAUUCUUCAGCUUUGACAAUGUUUCAAUUCAUAUACUAUGCAGCUUUUCUAAUCUGUGAAGGCCCAGCUUACAACUGAUAAGUGACUGACUCAUGACUGUAAAUCCUCAAGCCUGAAUGUCGGGUCAACUAGUGGCCCAUCUUGGUAAAGAGAGCGAAGGUGUCAUAGGGGUUGCUCACUCUAAUACAAGAUGAGGAACACCUCACUCAUUGGUGAUGGAGAUUCAAAAUCAUUCCCACUGUAUUAGUCCUCAACCCCUAUGAUUUCAUACUCACAAGGAGGUGGUGUGUGUCAACCAUGUGGCAAAAAAUCUCACCUCUGUACUUUGCGAAAUCUGGGAGCCAUCGAGAAAAAGAGAGGUGUAGCGCUUGGAGAGAGAGAUUUUGGUGCACUGACUCAGGAGAAGAUUGGAUGUCUCCAGUCCUAUUACACAAAACCUCUGAGGUUGUUCAACUCUUUCCACUGCUAAUGUAAGAAGCAGUUGUGGCCACGUUGCUGCACAGCACCGGCACAGAUGGAGACCACAUCAUGACAGAUGCCCACCUACUGGUGAAAACAACUGGUGCUUUUACAGUACAUGUAUAA